CAAAGUUGUGGUGAUGAUUUUUAUCUUUUUUCCCCAGCUUAUCGAUAGAUGCUGAUAACCAUGUGAAACUAAGCCAGUACAAAUCUGAACAAUUUUG
Small nucleolar RNA from Lytechinus pictus (painted urchin), 97 nucleotides. RefSeq annotates it as small nucleolar SNORD12/SNORD106. The transcript has a single exon. The record is from RefSeq and is a predicted model, not a curated record. NCBI's taxonomy places the organism in Eukaryota, Metazoa, Echinodermata, Echinoidea, Temnopleuroida, Toxopneustidae.